Molecule: transfer RNA, 73 nt
Filed under: Ictidomys tridecemlineatus (thirteen-lined ground squirrel)
Lineage: Eukaryota; Metazoa; Chordata; Mammalia; Rodentia; Sciuridae
Description: Spermophilus tridecemlineatus (thirteen-lined ground squirrel) tRNA
Rfam family: tRNA
About the family: Transfer RNA (tRNA) molecules are approximately 80 nucleotides in length.
Source: Rfam by way of RNAcentral
GGGGGUAUAGCUCAGUUAGUAGAGUGCUUGCCCCAUAUGCACAAGGCCCUAGGUUCCAUCCCUGGCACCACCA